Molecule: ribosomal RNA, 253 nt
Filed under: uncultured bacterium
Lineage: Bacteria
Description: partial 16S ribosomal RNA
Rfam family: Bacterial small subunit ribosomal RNA
Source: RNAcentral
UACGUAGGGGGCAAGCGUUGUCCGGAUUUAUUGGGCGUAAAGAGCGUGUAGGCGGCUUUACAGGUCCGUUGUGAAAACUCGAGGCUCAACCUCGAGACGCCGGUGGAAACCGUAAGGCUAGAGUCCGGAAGAGGAGAGUGGAAUUCCGGGUGUAGCGGUGAAAUGCGCAGAUAUCAGGAAGAACACCAGUGGCGAAGGCGGCUCUCUGGGCCGGUACUGACGCUGAGACGCGAAAGCGUGGGGAGCGAACAGG